Molecule: long non-coding RNA, 845 nt
Organism: Aedes albopictus (Asian tiger mosquito)
Lineage: Eukaryota; Metazoa; Arthropoda; Insecta; Diptera; Culicidae
Exons: 2
Source: RefSeq, a predicted model, not a curated record
CUAAUUAAUGAGGCGUCCGAUUUGAAUGUGGUCUUCGGAAAAGUUGUAGCUGAUAGAGUAGCCUAGGAGUACCAAGGGUCAACUAACACUAUAGGGCACUUGGGAAAAUGCUACGGUCAAUUGAAUGAAAAGCGUUCUUUUCCCAUACUAAUUCCCAUACAAACUUCGAAGGGCUUGUGCACUCUCAAUUUUCAACCAAUUCAGCUCAAAUUUUAGGAGAAGGCAUAGAAUCAAAGUCCAAAUAAAGUCGUUCAACUCCCAUACAUUGGUGUGAAAUUUCGGGGUUCAUGAAGUACUAGACCAAAAAAAUAUAAUACCUGCGUAUAAUGAUACCUUGCGCUCUUCUGCAAAUUGAAUAUCUAGUACUCCACUAAUGUUGCUAUGAGUAACUACUGUUCAAACAAAUAUAAACAAGAAAAAAUCAAUCUCCGGAAAACGAAGUAUUAAACUGUUAGAAAAUUGGAAGCAUCCUUCAUCAGCCUUCGUUGUGCAACUUUGGUAACUUGGAGCGUCCUUAAUCGAAAAUCCAAUUCCAACUCCCAGGCCAAAAAGUGUAACGAACCCAAUGAGACCCCCACCGACUUACCACCCCGUCGCCCCGUUUACCAGCCUGACGAUGUCACCGUUCCGAUCUCCAACGUCGCCAUUCCUAUAGUAUCCCCCCCCCAUCGUCCGGACGGGCCCCGUUCUUGCUUGAUCCAAGAGUUACCGGCCGGCCAAACACACUACACAAUCAUGUAGAAUUUGCUUUAAAAGUUAAAAUAUACAUUAAUAUAAUUUAGAAAAAAAAAACUACACGAACACACCCUAGGUAUGUUUGUUAAUAAAUUAAUGAGAAAAAGUAA